UUGGCUUGGGAUCAACCUUCCCCUGGCUGACUCUCCUUCUCGUGUGUUGGAAGGGUGGAAGAAAGUAGGAACAAGGUGGCUAAAAAGUUUUAAAGAUGGGUAUGUCUGUCUGUCACGCAGACCCCCUACAAAAAUUAUGGAGUGGAGAGAGAUAUCCUAAGAAUGGAGGUAUUAGGCUUUAUUUAUAGUUGUAGGCAGGG
Molecule: long non-coding RNA, 200 nt
Filed under: Elaeis guineensis (African oil palm)
Lineage: Eukaryota; Viridiplantae; Streptophyta; Magnoliopsida; Arecales; Arecaceae
Description: long non-coding RNA (EGUI_LNC034429)
Source: RNAcentral